This 81-nucleotide small nucleolar RNA is filed under the name Sphenodon punctatus (tuatara). Its description in RNAcentral is "Small nucleolar RNA MBII-202 (ENSSPUG00000006928.1)". It matches the Rfam family "Small nucleolar RNA MBII-202". From Rfam's summary of the family: MBII-202 is a member of the C/D class of snoRNA which contain the C (UGAUGA) and D (CUGA) box motifs. The record is from Rfam by way of RNAcentral. Lineage: Eukaryota; Metazoa; Chordata; Lepidosauria; Sphenodontia; Sphenodontidae.
UGAUGAAAAUUCUCCGGAAUCUCUGAACUCGGUUGAUGAUUUGCUCGAACCCUUUUCCAGCUGAUGACUGUAGCUUGCAGU